RNAcentral lists this ribosomal RNA (466 nucleotides) under Bacillus albus. RNAcentral's name for it is "bacterial SSU rRNA". It matches the Rfam family "Bacterial small subunit ribosomal RNA", at positions 77 to 526 of the family's 1533-position model. The record is from RNAcentral. Lineage: Bacteria; Bacillati; Bacillota; Bacilli; Caryophanales; Bacillaceae.
AGCUUGCUCUUAUGAAGUUAGCGGCGGACGGGUGAGUAACACGUGGGUAACCUGCCCAUAAGACUGGGAUAACUCCGGGAAACCGGGGCUAAUACCGGAUAACAUUUUGAACCGCAUGGUUCGAAAUUGAAAGGCGGCUUCGGCUGUCACUUAUGGAUGGACCCGCGUCGCAUUAGCUAGUUGGUGAGGUAACGGCUCACCAAGGCAACGAUGCGUAGCCGACCUGAGAGGGUGAUCGGCCACACUGGGACUGAGACACGGCCCAGACUCCUACGGGAGGCAGCAGUAGGGAAUCUUCCGCAAUGGACGAAAGUCUGACGGAGCAACGCCGCGUGAGUGAUGAAGGCUUUCGGGUCGUAAAACUCUGUUGUUAGGGAAGAACAAGUGCUAGUUGAAUAAGCUGGCACCUUGACGGUACCUAACCAGAAAGCCACGGCUAACUACGUGCCAGCAGCCGCGGUAAUAC